This 84-nucleotide small nucleolar RNA is filed under the name Sorex araneus (European shrew). Its description in RNAcentral is "small Cajal body-specific RNA 18 (ENSSARG00000019059.1)". It matches the Rfam family "small Cajal body-specific RNA 18". From Rfam's summary of the family: scaRNAs are a specific class of small nuclear RNAs which localise to the Cajal bodies and guide the modification of RNA polymerase II transcribed spliceosomal RNAs U1, U2, U4, U5 and U12. This C/D box domain U91 (also known as U4-8) was identified by Darzacq and is predicted to guide the 2'O-ribose methylation of U4 snRNA C8. The record is from RNAcentral. Lineage: Eukaryota; Metazoa; Chordata; Mammalia; Eulipotyphla; Soricidae.
UGGUCGAUGAUGACGAGACCACUGCGCAAUCUGAGUUCCUGGGAACCAGGUGAUGGAGCGUGUUCUGAGAACCGACUGAGACCG